AGUGAACGCUGGCGGCGUGCCUAAUACAUGCAAGUCGAACGAUGAAGCUUCUAGCUUGCUAGAAGUGGAUUAGUGGCGCACGGGUGAGUAAUGCAUAGAUAACAUACCCUUUAGUCUAGGAUAGCCACUGGAAACGGUGAUUAAUACUGGAUACUCCCUACGGGGGAAAGUUUUUCGCUAAAGGAUUGGUCUAUGUCCUAUCUGCUUGUUGGUGAGGUAAUGGCCCACCAAGGCUAUGACGGGUAUCCGGCCUGAGAGGGUGAUCGGACACACUGGAACUGAGACACGGUCCAG
This 294-nucleotide ribosomal RNA is filed under the name uncultured Helicobacter sp. RNAcentral describes it as "partial 16S ribosomal RNA". It matches the Rfam family "Bacterial small subunit ribosomal RNA", at positions 29 to 334 of the family's 1533-position model. Lineage: Bacteria; Pseudomonadati; Campylobacterota; Epsilonproteobacteria; Campylobacterales; Helicobacteraceae. The record is from RNAcentral.